RNAcentral lists this ribosomal RNA (562 nucleotides) under uncultured fungus. RNAcentral's name for it is "eukaryotic LSU rRNA". It matches the Rfam family "Eukaryotic large subunit ribosomal RNA", at positions 62 to 648 of the family's 3401-position model. The record is from RNAcentral. Lineage: Eukaryota; Fungi.
AAACCAACAGGGAUUGCCUUAGUAACGGCGAGUGAAGCGGCAAAAGCUCAAAUUUGAAAUCUGGCACCUUCGGUGUCCGAGUUGUAAUUUGAAGAAGGUAACUUUGGAGUUGGCUCUUGUCUAUGUUCCUUGGAACAGGACGUCACAGAGGGUGAGUAUCCCGUGCGAUGAGAUGCCCAAUUCUAUGUAAAGUGCUUUCGAAGAGUCGAGUUGUUUGGGAAUGCAGCUCUAAGUGGGAGGUAAAUUCCUUCUAAAGCUAAAUAUUGACGAGAGACCGAUAGCGAACAAGUACUGUGAAGGAAAGAUGAAAAGCACUUUGAAAAGAGAGUGAAAAAGUACGUGAAAUUGUUAAAAGGGAAGGGUAUUGAAUCAGACUUGGUGCUGUUGUUCAACCAUGUUUCGGCAUGGUGUACUCAGCAGUACUAGGCCAAGGUGGGGUGUUUGGGAGUGAAAAAGAAGUAGGAACGUAACUCUUCGGAGUGUUAUAGCCUACUUUCAUAGCUCCUCAGGCGCCUCAGGACUGCGCUUCGGCAAGGACCUUGGCAUAAUGAUUCUAUACCGC